RNAcentral lists this ribosomal RNA (2893 nucleotides) under Escherichia coli. RNAcentral describes it as "bacterial LSU rRNA". It matches the Rfam family "Bacterial large subunit ribosomal RNA". The record is from RNAcentral. Lineage: Bacteria; Pseudomonadati; Pseudomonadota; Gammaproteobacteria; Enterobacterales; Enterobacteriaceae.
ACUAAGCGUACACGGUGGAUGCCCUGGCAGUCAGAGGCGAUGAAGGACGUGCUAAUCUGCGAUAAGCGUCGGUAAGGUGAUAUGAACCGUUAUAACCGGCGAUUUCCGAAUGGGGAAACCCAGUGUGAUUCGUCACACUAUCAUUAACUGAAUCCAUAGGUUAAUGAGGCGAACCGGGGGAACUGAAACAUCUAAGUACCCCGAGGAAAAGAAAUCAACCGAGAUUCCCCCAGUAGCGGCGAGCGAACGGGGAGCAGCCCAGAGCCUGAAUCAGUGUGUGUGUUAGUGGAAGCGUCUGGAAAGGCGCGCGAUACAGGGUGACAGCCCCGUACACAAAAAUGCACAUACUGUGAGCUCGAUGAGUAGGGCGGGACACGUGGUAUCCUGUCUGAAUAUGGGGGGACCAUCCUCCAAGGCUAAAUACUCCUGACUGACCGAUAGUGAACCAGUACCGUGAGGGAAAGGCGAAAAGAACCCCGGCGAGGGGAGUGAAAAAGAACCUGAAACCGUGUACGUACAAGCAGUGGGAGCACGCUUAGGCGUGUGACUGCGUACCUUUUGUAUAAUGGGUCAGCGACUUAUAUUCUGUAGCAAGGUUAACCGAAUAGGGGAGCCGAAGGGAAACCGAGUCUUAACUGGGCGUUAAGUUGCAGGGUAUAGACCCGAAACCCGGUGAUCUAGCCAUGGGCAGGUUGAAGGUUGGGUAACACUAACUGGAGGACCGAACCGACUAAUGUUGAAAAAUUAGCGGAUGACUUGUGGCUGGGGGUGAAAGGCCAAUCAAACCGGGAGAUAGCUGGUUCUCCCCGAAAGCUAUUUAGGUAGCGCCUCGUGAAUUCAUCUCCGGGGGUAGAGCACUGUUUCGGCAAGGGGGUCAUCCCGACUUACCAACCCGAUGCAAACUGCGAAUACCGGAGAAUGUUAUCACGGGAGACACACGGCGGGUGCUAACGUCCGUCGUGAAGAGGGAAACAACCCAGACCGCCAGCUAAGGUCCCAAAGUCAUGGUUAAGUGGGAAACGAUGUGGGAAGGCCCAGACAGCCAGGAUGUUGGCUUAGAAGCAGCCAUCAUUUAAAGAAAGCGUAAUAGCUCACUGGUCGAGUCGGCCUGCGCGGAAGAUGUAACGGGGCUAAACCAUGCACCGAAGCUGCGGCAGCGACGCUGAUGCGUUGUUGGGUAGGGGAGCGUUCUGUAAGCCUGCGAAGGUGUGCUGUGAGGCAUGCUGGAGGUAUCAGAAGUGCGAAUGCUGACAUAAGUAACGAUAAAGCGGGUGAAAAGCCCGCUCGCCGGAAGACCAAGGGUUCCUGUCCAACGUUAAUCGGGGCAGGGUGAGUCGACCCCUAAGGCGAGGCCGAAAGGCGUAGUCGAUGGGAAACAGGUUAAUAUUCCUGUACUUGGUGUUACUGCGAAGGGGGGACGGAGAAGGCUAUGUUGGCCGGGCGACGGUUGUCCCGGUUUAAGCGUGUAGGCUGGUUUUCCAGGCAAAUCCGGAAAAUCAAGGCUGAGGCGUGAUGACGAGGCACUACGGUGCUGAAGCAACAAAUGCCCUGCUUCCAGGAAAAGCCUCUAAGCAUCAGGUAACAUCAAAUCGUACCCCAAACCGACACAGGUGGUCAGGUAGAGAAUACCAAGGCGCUUGAGAGAACUCGGGUGAAGGAACUAGGCAAAAUGGUGCCGUAACUUCGGGAGAAGGCACGCUGAUAUGUAGGUGAAGUCCCUCGCGGAUGGAGCUGAAAUCAGUCGAAGAUACCAGCUGGCUGCAACUGUUUAUUAAAAACACAGCACUGUGCAAACACGAAAGUGGACGUAUACGGUGUGACGCCUGCCCGGUGCCGGAAGGUUAAUUGAUGGGGUUAGCGCAAGCGAAGCUCUUGAUCGAAGCCCCGGUAAACGGCGGCCGUAACUAUAACGGUCCUAAGGUAGCGAAAUUCCUUGUCGGGUAAGUUCCGACCUGCACGAAUGGCGUAAUGAUGGCCAGGCUGUCUCCACCCGAGACUCAGUGAAAUUGAACUCGCUGUGAAGAUGCAGUGUACCCGCGGCAAGACGGAAAGACCCCGUGAACCUUUACUAUAGCUUGACACUGAACAUUGAGCCUUGAUGUGUAGGAUAGGUGGGAGGCUUUGAAGUGUGGACGCCAGUCUGCAUGGAGCCGACCUUGAAAUACCACCCUUUAAUGUUUGAUGUUCUAACGUGGACCCGUAAUCCGGGUUGCGGACAGUGUCUGGUGGGUAGUUUGACUGGGGCGGUCUCCUCCUAAAGAGUAACGGAGGAGCACGAAGGUUGGCUAAUCCUGGUCGGACAUCAGGAGGUUAGUGCAAUGGCAUAAGCCAGCUUGACUGCGAGCGUGACGGCGCGAGCAGGUGCGAAAGCAGGUCAUAGUGAUCCGGUGGUUCUGAAUGGAAGGGCCAUCGCUCAACGGAUAAAAGGUACUCCGGGGAUAACAGGCUGAUACCGCCCAAGAGUUCAUAUCGACGGCGGUGUUUGGCACCUCGAUGUCGGCUCAUCACAUCCUGGGGCUGAAGUAGGUCCCAAGGGUAUGGCUGUUCGCCAUUUAAAGUGGUACGCGAGCUGGGUUUAGAACGUCGUGAGACAGUUCGGUCCCUAUCUGCCGUGGGCGCUGGAGAAUUGAGGGGGGCUGCUCCUAGUACGAGAGGACCGGAGUGGACGCAUCACUGGUGUUCGGGUUGUCAUGCCAAUGGCACUGCCCGGUAGCUAAAUGCGGAAGAGAUAAGUGCUGAAAGCAUCUAAGCACGAAACUUGCCCCGAGAUGAGUUCUCCCUGACUCCUUGAGAGUCCUGAAGGAACGUUGAAGACGACGACGUUGAUAGGCCGGGUGUGUAAGCGCAGCGAUGCGUUGAGCUAACCGGUACUAAUGAACCGUGAGGCUUAACC